ACUGAACGCUGGCGGCAUGCUUUACACAUGCAAGUCGAACGGUAACAGGCCGCAAGGUGCUGACGAGUGGCGCACGGGUGAGUAAUGCAUCGGAACGUGCCCAGUCGUGGGGGAUAACUACUCGAAAGAGUAGCUAAUACCGCAUACGAUCUAUGGAUGAAAGCGGGGGACCGUAAGGCCUCGCGCGAUUGGAGCGGCCGAUGUCAGAUUAGGUAGUUGGUGGGGUAAAGGCUCACCAAGCCAACGAUCUGUAGCUGGUCUGAGAGGACGACCAGCCACACUGGGACUGAGACACGGCCCAGACUCCUACGGGAGGCAGCAGUGGGGAAUUUUGGACAAAGGGCGCAAGCCUGAUCCAGCAAUGCCGCGUGCAGGAAGAAGGCCUUCGGGUUGUAAACUGCUUUUGUACGGAACGAAACGGCUCUGGUUAAUACCCGGGGCUAAUGACGGUACCGUAAGAAUAAGCACCGGCUAACUACGUG
This 482-nucleotide ribosomal RNA is filed under the name uncultured bacterium. Its description in RNAcentral is "partial 16S ribosomal RNA". It matches the Rfam family "Bacterial small subunit ribosomal RNA", at positions 30 to 507 of the family's 1533-position model. The record is from RNAcentral.